This 332-nucleotide ribosomal RNA is filed under the name uncultured eukaryote. Its description in RNAcentral is "partial 18S ribosomal RNA". It matches the Rfam family "Eukaryotic small subunit ribosomal RNA", at positions 1470 to 1796 of the family's 1831-position model. The record is from RNAcentral.
CCCUUAGAUGUCCUGGGCUGCACGCGCGCUACACUGGGAGUUACGGAUUGAGAUACUACCUUGUCCGAAAUGGUCCGGGUAAUCACCUAAAAGCUUGUCAUAAUUGGAAUGGAUUAUUGUAACUAGUAAUCCUGAACGAGGAAUUCCUAGUAAGUCCCAGUCAACAGCUGGUACUGAUUACGUCCCUGCCCUUUGUACACACCGCCCGUCGCUACUACUGAUUGGACGUUUAAGCAAGAUUUUUAAACACUGACAGUGUGUAGUUCACGCUAUACUACAGUGAGAAGAAGAAGAUCGAGCUUACUUGUCUAGAGGAAGUAAAAGUCGUAACA